UUCAUGGAGAGUUUGAUCCUGGCUCAGGACGAACGCUGGCGGCGUGCCUAAUACAUGCAAGUCGAGCGAACCGACGGGAGCUUGCUCCCUUAGGUUAGCGGCGGACGGGUGAGUAACACGUGGGUAACCUGCCUGUAAGACUGGGAUAACUCCGGGAAACCGGGGCUAAUACCGGAUGCUUGAUUGAACCGCAUGGUUCAAUUAUAAAAGGUGGCUUUUAGCUACCACUUACAGAUGGACCCGCGGCGCAUU
RNAcentral lists this ribosomal RNA (252 nucleotides) under Bacillus sonorensis. RNAcentral's name for it is "partial 16S ribosomal RNA". It matches the Rfam family "Bacterial small subunit ribosomal RNA", at positions 1 to 242 of the family's 1533-position model. Lineage: Bacteria; Bacillati; Bacillota; Bacilli; Caryophanales; Bacillaceae. The record is from RNAcentral.